Non-coding RNA from Castor canadensis (American beaver), 284 nucleotides. NCBI's taxonomy places the organism in Eukaryota, Metazoa, Chordata, Mammalia, Rodentia, Castoridae. The record is from RefSeq and is a predicted model, not a curated record.
AUGCUCCGCCAGAUCGUCAGCCAGGCUAAGAAAUCCCCCUCUUCGUGUUUAUUGGCGCUGGAGGUACAGGAGCAGCACAGUAUAUGAUGCGUCUGGCAUUGUUCAAUCCAGAUGUCAGUUGGGACAGGAAGAAUAACCCAGAACCCUGGAACAAAGUGGGUCCCAAUGAUCAAUACAAGUUCUACUCAGUGAAUGUGGACUACAGCAAACUGAAGAAAGAAGGCCCAGACUUCUAAGUCAAAUGCCUCACUAUAAAGCUGCUUAAAAUGAAGGUCUUUCAGAAG